This 459-nucleotide ribosomal RNA is filed under the name uncultured bacterium. RNAcentral describes it as "partial 16S ribosomal RNA". It matches the Rfam family "Bacterial small subunit ribosomal RNA", at positions 338 to 795 of the family's 1533-position model. The record is from RNAcentral.
CCUACGGGGGGCAGCAGUGAGGAAUAUUGGUCAAUGGGAGAGAUCCUGAACCAGCCAAGCCGCGUGAGGGAAGAUGGCACUAUGGAUUGUAAACCUCUUUUGUCGGGGAACAAAACCCGGGACGUGUCCCGGAAUGCGUGUAUCCGAAGAAAAAUCAUCGGCUAACUCCGUGCCAGCAGCCGCGGUAAUACGGAGGAUGCGAGCGUUAUCCGGAUUUAUGGGGUUUAAAGGGUGCGUAGGCGGUCCGUUAAGUCAGCGGUAAAAUUGCGGGGCUAAACCCCGGCGAGCCGUUGAAACUGGCAGUCUUGAGUUGGCGAGAGGUACGCGGAAUGCGCGGUGUAGCGGUGAAAUGCAUAGAUAUUGCGCAGAACUCCGAUUGCGAAGGCAGCGUACCGGCGCCAGACUGACGCUGAGGCACGAAAGCGUGGGGAGCGAACAGGAUUAGAUACCCGAGUAGUC